Molecule: long non-coding RNA, 990 nt
Filed under: Durio zibethinus
Lineage: Eukaryota; Viridiplantae; Streptophyta; Magnoliopsida; Malvales; Malvaceae
Description: long non-coding RNA (DZIB_LNC001354)
Source: RNAcentral
UUUUAAAAAAAUUGAGGAUAGGGAUCUAUUGAAGAAAUCAAUUCUGGAAGAAUUAAAAUUCUUGGACUUGGAUUGAAAUUGGGAUUAUAUCCCUAUAAAUCAACAUCGAAGCUGAGAGUGAUAAAAAAAAAAAAGAUCACGAUAAAAAAAAUUGGAAAAGGAAGAUUGGUAGUGAAAAAAGUUCAGUUACAAGUAAAUUUAGGGAAACAAUAGAAUUUCACUAUCAAUAGGAGUAGUGAAAAUUUUUCACAGUCAUCAGCUACGUCCAAUCAGCUCUGCCAUUCCCUGCUCCAAAAUCACAUACCCAAUUUCCUAGUAAAAAAAUUCAUAAACACAAUUUAGAAUUUUUUAAUCAAGCAAGAAACAAAGCCUUAGCACCAGAAAAUCGAAGAACCCCACAAAACCCCUAGUCCCAACAACAUAAGAAGUGAAACCCAAACCCAAAAAUCAAGUCAACCUAAAGCAAGCCCUAACACAGACGAUUGAAAGCAUUCAAGCAAAAACCUAGAAGCCAAAUCAGCAGCUCUAAACUAAAAGCAACCACAAGUAAGAACAGAGAGUUACGGGCAGAUAAAGAAAACUCAAGCAACUUAGUAGUCAAAACCCAAAAAUCUCACCAAUCCGAGAACACCUAUAAACAAUUUAGUAUCCCUAAACCCAAAUCCUGCAUACAACAAAGAAAUUCAACACACCAUACGCAAACCCUACAGAAAACAACCAUAAUCCAUACCUAUAAUCACAGAAAACAAAAAGCAUAAAAAAGAGAAAGAGAUUAAGGUUUCGGUAUUAGAAUUUCAAGUUAAGGCUCUGGGAUUUGAUAUUUGUUCUUAUAAAAGACUUUGUGUUAGUGGUAGAGCUAGUGGCAAAAAAGGCAAUCAAAGCUAUGGUUUUUGAAAUUUGAUCUUGGAUUCUUGAAGAAUUUUUUGAAGACUUGUUUAAGUGAAAAAUGGAAAAAGUUUGAAGGGCAAGGGCAAAAAGUGAAGGAAGCAA